Molecule: ribosomal RNA, 208 nt
Filed under: uncultured bacterium
Lineage: Bacteria
Description: partial 16S ribosomal RNA
Rfam family: Bacterial small subunit ribosomal RNA
Source: RNAcentral
CGGAUUGUAGUCUGCAACCCGACUACAUGAAGCUGGAAUCGCUAGUAAUCGCAGGUCAGCAUACUGCGGUGAAUACGUUCCCGGGUCCUUGUACACACCGCCCGUCACACCAUGGGAGCCGGAAAUGCCCGAAGCCAGUGACCCAACCUUAGGGAGGGAGCUGUCGAAGGUGGAGCCGGUAACUGGGGUGAAGUCGUAACAAGGUACC